Molecule: transfer RNA, 73 nt
Filed under: Xylella fastidiosa
Lineage: Bacteria; Pseudomonadati; Pseudomonadota; Gammaproteobacteria; Lysobacterales; Lysobacteraceae
Description: tRNA-Ala
Rfam family: tRNA
About the family: Transfer RNA (tRNA) molecules are approximately 80 nucleotides in length. Their secondary structure includes four short double-helical elements and three loops (D, anti-codon, and T loops).
Source: RNAcentral
GGGCUUAGCUCAGCCGGUAGAGCACCUGCUUUGCAAGCAGGGGGUCGUCGGUUUGAUCCCGACAGGCUCCCCC